GCUCAGAUUGAACGCUGGCGGCAUGCCUUACACAUGCAAGUCGAACGGCAGCAUGGAGAGCUUGCUCUCUGAUGGCGAGUGGCGAACGGGUGAGUAAUACAUCGGAACGUGUCCGUUUGUGGGGGACAACCGUCCGAAAGGAUGGCUAAUACCGCAUGAGACCUGAGGGUGAAAGCCGGGGACCGCAAGGCCCGGCGCAGACGGAGCGGCCGAUGAUUGAUUAGCUAGUUGGGGAGGUAAAGGCUCACCAAGGCGACGAUCAAUAGCUGGUCUGAGAGGACGACCAGCCACACUGGAACUGAGACACGGUCCAGACUCCUACGGGAGGCAGCAGUA
RNAcentral lists this ribosomal RNA (336 nucleotides) under uncultured bacterium. RNAcentral describes it as "bacterial SSU rRNA". It matches the Rfam family "Bacterial small subunit ribosomal RNA", at positions 22 to 356 of the family's 1533-position model. The record is from RNAcentral.